CCCUUAGAUGUUCUGGGCCGCACGCGCGCUACACUGACUGGAGCAACGAGUUUAUAACCUUCACCGAGAGGUGUGGGUAAUCUUGUGAAUUCCAGUCGUGUUGGGGCUAGAUUUUUGCAAUUUUCGAUCUUAAACGAGGAAUUCCUAGUAAGCGUGAUUCAUCAGAUCGCGUUGAUUACGUCCCUGCCCUUUGUACACACCGCCCGUCGCUACUACCGAUCGAAUGGUUUAGUGAGACAUCGAGAUCCGCUUCUGGCACUGGGCAACUAGAGCCUAAAGCAGAGAACUUUUUCAAACUUGAUCAUUUAGAGGAAGUAAAAGUCGUAACA
This 329-nucleotide ribosomal RNA is filed under the name uncultured eukaryote. Its description in RNAcentral is "partial 18S ribosomal RNA". It matches the Rfam family "Eukaryotic small subunit ribosomal RNA", at positions 1470 to 1796 of the family's 1831-position model. The record is from RNAcentral.